This 506-nucleotide long non-coding RNA is filed under the name Brassica rapa (field mustard). RNAcentral's name for it is "long non-coding RNA (BRAP_LNC006432)". The record is from RNAcentral. Lineage: Eukaryota; Viridiplantae; Streptophyta; Magnoliopsida; Brassicales; Brassicaceae.
UCUCAGUUUUGUUCUAUAUUUACCAUUACACUCGUAGUUUUACUUUCUACAAAUAAACAAAAUCCACAUUGUUAUAAAUAAAAAUAGUAGAAAAAUUAUUCAAUUAAUAAGAGAUGCCUAACGUUUUUUUUUUUAUGUGAAAUGUUUUUUUUUGAAACUUUGUGUGGAAGUGGUGGACCUAUAGUGGUUAAUUAAGACGAUAAUUAUGCGCAAAUCCAGCCAUCAUUUCGUUCCGUGGGAAAUAUAUAAAUUAUAAAUACUCGUAACCGAAGGAUAUCAAAAUAAGCUAAUUCGCUCACUUCACACUGAGUUCGGAUAUUUCACGAGGUAGCUCAGCUCAUUUACUAUAUGAGUUUCAAUAUGUAAAUUUGAACUCAAAUCAUCUAGAUCAUGAGUUAAAUGAGUUAACUCGCGAUCAAAUAUAAAUAAUAAAAAUUAGAAAAUAAAUUAGAAAAUAAAAUAUUGUUCAUAAUAUAAUUUAAAAUUAAUCCAAAACAUUAAUAAUA